UUUUGAGGGAGGUGAGAACCCAACACCUGAGAUGGGUGCACAGGAGUUGGACUUUGUGCCCCCAGGAGGCCCUCUUAAACAGGAUCUAAGCUGCCUCUGCUCCGUCACUCACCGCUGGCCCUGGGGACACCUGGCCCCUCUGCCCUCACAGGCCCCGGGAAUUCAGGCCUUUCCUCUGCAGCUGCUCCCCACCCCUCCUUCCACCAGCCACACAGUCACCUGUGCCAUUUUCAUUUUAUAGCUGAGUCAGAUGCCAGUUCACUGUGGCCUUCCCAAGCUGCAGGGACACUGAAGAAAGCUCACCACCCUUGAUUUCAGGGAACAGGGAGGGAGGCAGCAUCCACCACGCCUGCCCUGGGGAUGAGCUGAGACGAUGGCUCCACAGGGAAAGCAGAGGCCGGUCUUGGUUGGUGUCUCUCCUCCCUCAGAGAGAGCCCUCCCCAGGUCCCCUCACAGUAAGGGCCGUUCUGACCUGCGAGGCACUAUUGAGUGUCACACUCAUGAAAAGCUUUUUUGCAAAUCCAGCUGUGAAGCACCAACAAAAUGCUUCACAUCUUCACCCUUUUACACAGACAAAGGGUGUGUGGGCUUUAAGAUCAUCUAAACUCUCACCCUCUCUCUACUUCAAAUUUUUCUGGGAAACAUCCACAGGGAGAAGACAAUGAACAUACCUCAGGGAAUGAGAGCUGGCAAAAUUCACAUCGUUUUCACUUCUUUAAUGGAGCCUAAAUUAAUUUUUUUGUAUGUUUGACCUUAUUUCUUGAAAAUACUAACUGGACAGGAUUCCUUAUAUUCAACAAAAAUUAUAAAAUGUAAAUAUCUAUUUAGGAAGCUAAAGAUAUUUUAUUAUUUAUGUUUAUGUGUUAUCUCAGUUUAACAAAUGAUUGACGUGGCAAAAGAAACAUAAGGAAAUCCUAAUUUAUAAUUAUGUGAAUUUUCUUUCUAGGUACAGACAAUAGUUUUGUGUUUGAUUUUCUGAUUUAAUAUCUCUAUUGGGUCACAGUACCACAUUUGUAAUAAUCACAAGCUUUAUGACUAGCAGAACUGUUUUUAUUUUAAAAUAAAUUGAAUGAAAG
Long non-coding RNA from Phyllostomus discolor (pale spear-nosed bat), 1076 nucleotides. RefSeq lists it as uncharacterized. The record is from RefSeq and is a predicted model, not a curated record. Lineage: Eukaryota; Metazoa; Chordata; Mammalia; Chiroptera; Phyllostomidae. The transcript has 2 exons.